This 253-nucleotide ribosomal RNA is filed under the name uncultured bacterium. RNAcentral describes it as "partial 16S ribosomal RNA". It matches the Rfam family "Bacterial small subunit ribosomal RNA", at positions 524 to 776 of the family's 1533-position model. The record is from RNAcentral.
UACAGAGGUCUCAAGCGUUGUUCGGAUUCAUUGGGCGUAAAGGGUGCGUAGGUGGCGGGGCAAGUCAGGUGUGAAAUCUCGGGGCUCAACCCCGAAACUGCACUUGAUACUGCCUUGCUCGAGUACUGGAGAGGAGACUGGAAUUUACGGUGUAGCAGUGAAAUGCGUAGAUAUCGUAAGGAAGACCAGUGGCGAAGGCGAGUCUCUGGACAGUUACUGACGCUGAGGCGCGACAGCGUGGGGAGCAAACAGG